AGGAGGAACAACCCCAGUGGCGUUGGCCAGCUCUGGAGCCCUUGAGUCAGUCACCGCAGUAACUACAGAGCUCUCCAUCUGCAGGGCCUGGAUGCUCUGGGGUGGG
Molecule: microRNA precursor, 106 nt
Filed under: Canis lupus familiaris (dog)
Lineage: Eukaryota; Metazoa; Chordata; Mammalia; Carnivora; Canidae
Also listed under: 1 other name
Description: mir-8834 microRNA precursor family
Rfam family: mir-8834 microRNA precursor family
Source: Rfam by way of RNAcentral